GUGCUCGCUUCAGCAGCAUGUAUGCUAAAAUUGGAACAUAAAGAGAAGCAAGAUCAGCAUGGCCCCCGCAAAAGGAUGGUAUGCAAAUAUUUUCCAGCUUUAU
Small nuclear RNA from Suricata suricatta (meerkat), 103 nucleotides. The record is from Ensembl. Lineage: Eukaryota; Metazoa; Chordata; Mammalia; Carnivora; Herpestidae.